AUCAGUUGGUCAUGUUCAUCUAAACACCUGUUCAUCUUUGCACUACGGGCCAAAGAUAUUCAUCAGAAAUCAUUCAUCUUUGCACUACAGGCCAAAGACAUUCAAUAAUAUCAUCAUUUAAGACUGAGGAUGAUGAAAAAUAUUUUUAAAGAAACGAAUCCAGUGAAACAAAAUGACAAGGAUUAAGGAUUAAGGAUUCGUACUUUAUUUUAUCCAUGUCCAAAAAUACCUCAAAAAUAAUCAUAGUAGUGUAAAAUUCAAGAAUGAUCAAAACAUG
This 277-nucleotide long non-coding RNA is filed under the name Panax ginseng (ginseng). RNAcentral describes it as "long non-coding RNA (PGIN_LNC005583)". The record is from RNAcentral. Lineage: Eukaryota; Viridiplantae; Streptophyta; Magnoliopsida; Apiales; Araliaceae.